GACGAACGCUGGCGGCGUGCCUAAUACAUGCAAGUAGAACGCACAGUUUAUACCGUAGCUUGCUACACCAUAGACUGUGAGUUGCGAACGGGUGAGUAACGCGUAGGUAACCUGCCUGGUAGCGGGGGAUAACUAUUGGAAACGAUAGCUAAUACCGCAUAAUAUUAAUUAUUGCAUGAUAAUUGAUUGAAAGGUGCAAAUGCAUCACUACCAGAUGGACCUGCGUUGUAUUAGCUAGUAGGUGAGGUAACGGCUCACCUAGGCGACGAUACAUAGCCGACCUGAGAGGGUGAUCGGCCACACUGGGACUGAGACACGGCCCAGACUCCUACGGGAGGCAGCAGUAGGGAAUCUUCGGCAAUGGACGAAAGUCUGACCGAGCAACGCCGCGUGAGUGAAGAAGGUUUUCGGAUCGUAAAGCUCUGUUGUAAGAGAAGAACGGGUGUGAGAGUGGAAAGUUCACACUGUGACGGUAUCUUACCAGAAAGGGACGGCUAACUACGUGCCAGCAGCCGCGGUAAUACGUAGGUCCCGAGCGUUGUCCGGAUUUAUUGGGCGUAAAGCGAGCGCAGGCGGUUAGAUAAGUCUGAAGUUAAAGGCUGUGGCUUAACCAUAGUACGCUUUGGAAACUGUUUAACUUGAGUGCAGAAGGGGAGAGUGGAAUUCCAUGUGUAGCGGUGAAAUGCGUAGAUAUAUGGAGGAACACCGGUGGCGAAAGCGGCUCUCUGGUCUGUAACUGACGCUGAGGCUCGAAAGCGUGGGAGCGAACAGG
Molecule: ribosomal RNA, 772 nt
Filed under: uncultured Streptococcus sp.
Lineage: Bacteria; Bacillati; Bacillota; Bacilli; Lactobacillales; Streptococcaceae
Description: bacterial SSU rRNA
Rfam family: Bacterial small subunit ribosomal RNA
Source: RNAcentral